CCAACAGAGACGGGCACCGUGACGCAUUCUGCAAAAACGUUUCUGCAGCAUUACACGACAAGCAGUUUGAUGGCCGCAUGAAUUUGGUAGGGCUAAAUCUGAAUCUUCCUUGACCUUUCGGUUGCCAUAUGGGAGCUAUUAGGAAAGAAUUUCAGGGAGGGGAAAUGGCUUCCCGGUGUCCUGUCCUGGCAUUCAACCUCCUCCGCUCUGCUGCACGCCACAG
Molecule: long non-coding RNA, 223 nt
Filed under: Oryzias sinensis (Chinese medaka)
Lineage: Eukaryota; Metazoa; Chordata; Actinopteri; Beloniformes; Adrianichthyidae
Description: lncRNA (ENSOSIG00000019512.1)
Source: RNAcentral